AUCCAGACUCCUACGGGAGGCAGCAGUGGGGGAUAUUGCACAAUGGGGGAAACCCUGAUGCAGCGACGCCGCGUGGGCGAAGAAGUAUUUCGGUAUGUAAAGCCCUAUCAGCAGGGAAGAAGAAAUGACGGUACCUGAGUAAGAAGCACCGGCUAAAUACGUGCCAGCAGCCGCGGUAAUACGUAGGGGGCAAGCGUUAUCCGGAUUUACUGGGUGUAAAGGGAGCGUAGACGGAUGGAUAAGUCUGAAGUGAAAGCCCGCGGCUCAACUGCGGGACUGCUUUGGAAACUGUGCAUCUUGAGUACGGGAGGGGCAGGCGGAAUUCCUGGUGUAGCGGUGAAAUGCGUAGAUAUCAGGAGGAACACCGGCGGCGAAGGCGGCCUGCUGGACCGCGACUGACGUUGAGGCUCGAAAGCGUGGGGAGCGAACAGGAUUAGAUACCCUCGUA
Molecule: ribosomal RNA, 448 nt
Filed under: uncultured bacterium
Lineage: Bacteria
Description: bacterial SSU rRNA
Rfam family: Bacterial small subunit ribosomal RNA
Source: RNAcentral